UGGGGACUGGGCCUGUAUCCUCAAAGCUUCUCAGAGCAGCAGUGCUGAUCUAGGAUCAGUUUAGCCACCAGGACUGGGGGACUGGGCCUGUAUCCUCAAAGCUUCUCAGAGCAGCAGUGCUGAUCUAGGAUCAGUUUAGCCACCAGGACUGGGGGACUGGGCCUGUAUCCUCAAAGCUUUCAGAGCAGCAGUGCUGAUCUAGGAUCAGUUUAGCCACCAGGACUGGGGGACUGGGCCUGUAUCCACAAAGCUUCUCAGAGCAGCAGUGCUGAUCUAGGAUCAGUUUAGCCACCAGGACUGGGGGACUGGGCCUGUAUCCUCAAAGCUUCUCAGAGCAGCAGUGCUGAUCUAGGAUCAGUUUAGCCACCAGGACUGGGGGACUGGGCCUGUUUCCUCAAAGCUUCUCAGAGCAGCAGUGCUGAUCUAGGAUCAGUUUAGCCACCAGGACUGGGGGCCUGGGUAUCCACAAAGCUUCUCAGAGCAGCAGUGCUGAUCUAGGAUCAGUUUAACCACCAGGACUGGGGGACUGGGCCUGUAUCCUCAAAGCUUCUCAGAGCAGCAGUGCUGAUCUAGGAUCAGUUUAGCCACCAGGACUGGGGGACUGGGCCUGUAUCCUCAAAGCUUCUCAGAGCAGCAGUGCUGAUCUGGGAUCAGUUUAGCCACCAGGACUGGGGGACUGGGCCUGUAUCCACAAAGCUUCUCAGAGCAGCAGUGCUGAUCCAGGAUCAGUUUAGCCACUAGGACUGGGGGACUGGGCCUGUUUCCACAAAGCUUCUCAGAGCAGCAGUACUGAUCUGGGAUCAGUUUAGCCACCAGGACUGGGGGACUCGGCCUGUAUCCUCAAAGCUUCUCAGAGUAGAUCUAGUAUGGAGUGAUUCAUAAUGUAGGAUCAGUUUUGCCUUUUAGCUCAUAAUGAAUCAAAUUAUAUGGACAGGUUGGAACCUAAUCCUGGAUCAGCACUCCAACUCAGAUGCUGUGGAUACAGAGACAGAUCCCACUACAGUAGGCUACUAAAUUACUGUUGUAGUGUAGAGAGAGAGAGAGAGGAGAGAGACCUCAGGGUGUCUGGGUCUAUAGAGGGGUAGAGGAGGAGACCUCAGGGUGUCUGGGUCUAUAGAGGGGUACAGGAGGAGACCUCAGGGUGUCUGGGUCUAUAGAGGGGUACAGGAGGAGACCUCAGGGUGUCUGGGUCUAUAGAGGGGUAGAGGAGGAGACCUCAGGGUGUCUGGGUCUAUAGAGGGGUAGAGGGAGAGACCUCAGGGUGUCUGGGUCUAUAGAGGGGGAGGAGGAGACCUCAGGGUGUCUGGGUCUAUAGAGGGGUAGAGGAGGAGACCUCAGGGUGUCUGGGUCUAUAGAGGGGUACAGGAGGAGACCUCAGGGUGUCUGGGUCUAUAGAGGGGUACAGGAGGAGACCUCAGGGUGUCUGGGUCUAUAGAGGGGUACAGGAGGAGACCUCAGGGUGUCUGGGUCUAUAGAGGGGUAGAGGAGGAGACCUCAGGGUGUCUGGGUCUAUAGAGGGGUAGAGGAGGAGACCUCAGGGUGUCUGGGUCUAUAGAGGGGUACAGGAGGAGACCUCAGGGUGUCUGGGUCUAUAGAGGGGUACAGGAGGAGACCUCCUUUCUCUACCCAAAAUCUGAGAAAAGGGGCUGACCUCAACACUAUAGGCAGCUGUGGUCGCCGGCCCACCACGACCAAACCACACUGACUAAACAGUGUCCCCUCUGACAAGCUCUGCCCCUCUCUCUGCCAGUCUGUCACUCUCUCUGCUUGUCUGUCUGCCCUUCUCUCUGCCCAUCUGUCCCUCUCUCUGCCUGUCUGGAAGCCAGUAAGUAAAGCGCACAUUUCCUGCCCAUGACAUUCGGAACGAGGAACAGGAAGUGCACUGAAGCCUCUUCUUCUCAUUCUUAGAGGAUCCCUGUAGGAUUUGGGGCCGACAUCAGGCCAGCUUGGACACGGGUUAAGUCACAUACUGUAUCUGCUUCAGGUUCUGAUUCAGGGUAUAGUGACAGUUUACUCAUUGUGCUUUAUUCUGGGAUUCUGACAUCAUAAUUGGAUGUAGCCCUUUGUAGAACAUUCCAACUGAUGACAUCACAACCAGAUGAAGUGAUCCUUUGUUAAAACAUUCUGGUUGCGUCUCUCUGCUCAGAUGUCACAUGCAUCAACCACUGGUUGCACCAGAUUGCUUUAGCAUGUGAUGUGUUUAGCUGAUCUGUAAAAUACCUAUCCAGGCGAUGUAAGAUCUGGCGUCAGCAACGUCUGAACAGAGGAACACACCCUCUAACUGAUGACAUCACAAUGUGGUGAUGACGCAGUCCUUUGAACAUUCUAACUGAUGACGUCAUAGUGACAUGACGCAAGCCUAAUUGAUGACAUCACAAUAGGCUAAAUAUGGUCCUAUAAGAGGGGUCCUUUUAAACGGGCUCCCAGACUCCGUACCAUAGCAUUACAAUGAAUAGAGAACCUCUAUCCCAAUUCAAAGAUAAUCCUGUGGGUUUUACAGCUACUGGUCUGUUCUACACGAAUUCUAAUCCUGUCCUCUUCAAUUUAACCCCUGGGGUACCUCCUCUCCUCACUUCCCUGAAUGAGACAUCUCCAUGGCGACACCAGUGUUAGCUAACCCUCAUUAUGGGAUAUAGUGUAGUUCCCAUAUCACACGGCACCAAACGGGUCAUAUUACAGUAAUCUGGGAAUAGUGGAGCAGACAGAUUAGAUUAAGCUCAUUAACAUCGCACGCACACACACACAAUGUGGAGACCAGGAGUUACACACACCACUCUCUGAACAGAGAGAAAGAGAGAGAGCCAUUGAAGGACUUUAAAGACUACAGUGAAGGCGGCAGGGUUUUGGUAAUAAUCUGUAGUGUUUUUGUUUUCAAGUGCAAAUAAGCCUUUCUCUGUCCUGCCCUGCAUUCUGUCUUCAUGUCACUAUCAAUCUCACAGGAUCCCAUUCUGCCAUGUAUCUCAAUGGUGCCCUAUUCCCUAUAUUAGUCCCUACGGGCCCUGGUCUAAAGUAGUGCACUAUAUAGGGAAUAGGGUGCCAUUUGGGAGGCAGGCCUGUUGUAUUCAAACGGGUUCUUCUUCCUGACUGAUGGAAUGAAUGACAAUACAGAGUAAAAGAAGAGCAUUAGUGGAGGAGGCAGAGAGAGAGAGAGAGAGGGGGAGGAGGAGAGAGAGAGAGAGAGAGAGGGAGAGAG
Molecule: long non-coding RNA, 3193 nt
Organism: Oncorhynchus tshawytscha (Chinook salmon)
Lineage: Eukaryota; Metazoa; Chordata; Actinopteri; Salmoniformes; Salmonidae
Source: Ensembl